Lycium ferocissimum is the source of this 289-nucleotide long non-coding RNA. RefSeq lists it as uncharacterized. The record is from RefSeq and is a predicted model, not a curated record. The transcript has 2 exons. NCBI's taxonomy places the organism in Eukaryota, Viridiplantae, Streptophyta, Magnoliopsida, Solanales, Solanaceae.
UCCAGAAACAUACUAGAAUCAUUUACACUUUCUCCCGUUGUCGAUGAUCAGGAACCAGAAAAGAGGUAACUUCAAAGGAAACAAACUAAAGAGAUAACUUAGAUCGAAUAAUUACAAGCGAUACUGGAGUUCAAAUUGUUGUCGCAUAGAUGAUACAUAUAAAGUUUGCUUUCCGUCAUGUGACUUUCAAAGGAAACAACACAAAUAGGUAACUUAGAUCUACUUACAAGCAUACACUACCAACAAUCUAGUAAGACAAACAUACAUGAGAUAGCCAGAUACAUAUCAA